CCUACGUUGUUCCUCCUUGGGGCAUCUUGCACAAUGGGGGAAACCCUGAUGCAGCGACGCCGCGUGAGUGAAGAAGUAAUUCGUUAUGUAAAGUUCUAUCAGCAGGGAAGAAAAUGACGGUACCUGAGUAAGAAGCCCCGGCUAACUACGUGCCAGCAGCCGCGGUAAUACGGAGGGGGCAAGCGUUAUCCGGAUUUACUGGGUGUAAAGGGAGCGUAGACGGCAGUGCAAGUCUGGAGUGAAAGGCGGGGGCUCAACCCCCGGACUGCUCUGGAAACUGUACGGCUGGAGUGCAGGAGAGGUAAGUGGAAUUCCUGGUGUAGCGGUGAAAUGCGUAGAUAUUAGGAGGAACACCAGUGGCGAAGGCGGCUUACUGGACUGUAACUGACGUUGAGGCUCGAAAGCGUGGGGAGCAAACAGGAUUAGAUACCCCAGUAGUC
Molecule: ribosomal RNA, 440 nt
Filed under: uncultured bacterium
Lineage: Bacteria
Description: partial 16S ribosomal RNA
Rfam family: Bacterial small subunit ribosomal RNA
Source: RNAcentral